Molecule: ribosomal RNA, 513 nt
Filed under: uncultured bacterium
Lineage: Bacteria
Description: partial 16S ribosomal RNA
Rfam family: Bacterial small subunit ribosomal RNA
Source: RNAcentral
GACGAACGCUGGCGGCGUGCUUAACACAUGCAAGUCGAACGAAAAGAGGGAAAGAGCUUGCUCUUUCCGGAAUUGAGUGGCAAACGGGUGAGUAACACGUAAACAACCUGCCUUCAGGAUGGGGACAACAGUCGGAAACGACUGCUAAUACCGAAUAAGUUCCAAGGGCCGCAUGGCCCAUGGAAGAAAAGGUGGCCUCUACCUGUAAGCUAUCGCCUGAAGAGGGGUUUGCGUCUGAUUAGCUGGUUGGAGGGGUAACGGCCCACCAAGGCGACGAUCAGUAGCCGGUCUGAGAGGAUGAACGGCCACACUGGAACUGAGACACGGUCCAGACUCCUACGGGAGGCAGCAGUGGGGAAUCUUCCGCAAUGGGCGAAAGCCUGACGGAGCAACGCCGCGUGAGUGAUGACGGCCUUCGGGUUGUAAAACUCUGUGAUCCGGGACGAAAAGGCAGAGUGCGAAGAACAAACUGCAUUGACGGUACCGGAAAAGCAAGCCACGGCUAACUACGUG